This 95-nucleotide microRNA precursor is filed under the name Marmota monax (woodchuck). The record is from RNAcentral. Lineage: Eukaryota; Metazoa; Chordata; Mammalia; Rodentia; Sciuridae.
AAUAGAAUUUUUGGGUCAUAUGGUACUCUAUCUUUUUCCGCAAUUGCCAGACUGUUUUCAAAGUGGCCUUACUAUUUUACAAUCUCACCAGGAAU